GCGCCGGUAGUCUAGUGGUAGGACUAGGGCUUCCCAAGCCCUCAACGCGGGUUCAAUUCCCGCCCGGCGCA
Molecule: transfer RNA, 71 nt
Filed under: Methanobacteriota archaeon
Lineage: Archaea; Methanobacteriati; Methanobacteriota
Also listed under: 1 other name
Description: Euryarchaeota archaeon tRNA-Gly
Rfam family: tRNA
About the family: Transfer RNA (tRNA) molecules are approximately 80 nucleotides in length. Their secondary structure includes four short double-helical elements and three loops (D, anti-codon, and T loops).
Source: RNAcentral